AUUGAACGCUGGCGGCAUGCCUAACACAUGCAAGUCGAACGGCAGCACGGCAGUAGCAAUACUGUGGGUGGCGAGUGGCGGACGGGUGAGUAAUGCAUCGGAACGUGCCAUUGAGUGGGGGAUAACGUAGCGAAAGUUGCGCUAAUACCGCAUAUUCUGUGAGCAGGAAAGCAGGGGACCGCAAGGCCUUGCGCUCUUUGAGCGGCCGAUGUCAGAUUAGCUAGUUGGUGAGGUAACGGCUUACCAAGGCGACGAUCUGUAGCGGGUCUGAGAGGAUGAUCCGCCACACUGGAACUGAGACACGGUCCAGACUCCUACGGGAGGCAGCAGUGGGGAAUUUUGGACAAUGGGCGCAAGCCUGAUCCAGCCAUGCCGCGUGAGUGAAGAAGGCCUCGGUGUAAGACGUACUUUCGGUCCGGGUAACGGAAAGUACGAC
This 436-nucleotide ribosomal RNA is filed under the name uncultured bacterium. RNAcentral's name for it is "bacterial SSU rRNA". It matches the Rfam family "Bacterial small subunit ribosomal RNA", at positions 30 to 465 of the family's 1533-position model. The record is from RNAcentral.